RNAcentral lists this ribosomal RNA (2268 nucleotides) under Triticum aestivum (bread wheat). Its description in RNAcentral is "partial small subunit ribosomal RNA". The record is from RNAcentral. Lineage: Eukaryota; Viridiplantae; Streptophyta; Magnoliopsida; Poales; Poaceae.
AUGUUGUUUGGACAAUACCAUGGAAGCUUCGCCAAGACCUUUUGUGAUCUGUUUAGGAAAGCUAAAGCCCUUCGCACAAUUAUUCUAUCUGGAGCAUCAUACUCUAUGGAAGACAUUCUGCCUAACUUUUCAGAAACCAUCCAUCUUCGUUACCUUAGGAUUGAGCCAUCACAUAACAUAUGCAACAUCAAUUUGCCUGAUAUGUUAUUCAGAUUUUAUCAUCUAGAGGUAAUAAAUCUAGAACAAUGGAACGGUCCCAUUUCAAUAAGGCAUAUGACCAACCUUGUAAAGCUGCGUCAUUUUCUUGUGCCAGAAAAUAAGCCUCGAGUUCAUUCAAACAUAUCAGAGGUGGGAAAACUUAAAUUGCUUUUAGAAUUAAGAAGGUUUGAAGUUGGAAAAGAAAAUGUUGGUUUCGAACUAAGUCAACUAGCACAAUUAACAGAGCUUGGAGGGUCACUUGGCAUUUACAAUCUUGAAAAGGUGCAAGAGAAAGGUGGGGUAAAUGAAAUAAGGCCAAUACACAGAAACCACUUGCAAGAACUAACAUUAGAGUGGGGUAUGAAACGAUCUAACAGGGAUCCCACAAGAGAAGGAAAUGUUCUUGAAAAUCUUGUACCGCACAGUGACCUUCGAGAUCUGUGCAUUAGAGGGCACAGAGGCACUAAUUGCCCAACAUGGCUAGGUGAGAACCUCUUUGUCAAAAAUUUGGAAUCUCUUCACUUGGCUGAUGUGUCUUGGAAAACUUUUCCACCAUUAGGAGAGUUAUGGUUGCUUGAUGAACCCCGUGUUGAGUGCAAGUGUUGCAUCUCAAGCCCAAGCUUUCAAAAAAAUUGUCUUGAAAAAAAAUGCUUCCAAAAUUUGAAAAAGCUAGUGUUUGUUAAGAUACCAAAACUGACCAAGUGGGCUGGAAAUCAAAAUUGUGGGUUCUUCUUCCACCUGGAAGUGCUCAUUAUUGAAGAUUGCCCUGAACUUAAGGAGUUGCCAUUUUCAUGUUCUACUUGCUCUCAACCAAUGCAAGAAGGGGAGAAGUUGACUUGGUUCCCUAGACUACGGGAGCUCAAGAUUGUAAGAUGCCCAAACCUGAGGACAAUGCCUCCUAUCCCUUGGACACGUACUCUAUGCUCCAUUAAGAUAGCAGAAGCAGGCUCGGAUUUUCAGGAGCUCGCUUACUCAAGUAGUCAUUUUAGAAAACCAGGAUAUCGUUUGAUCAUUCACGCAGAGGAUGGCGCAGAUAUCUUGUUUUGGAAUGAGUUGGCUUUCUGUAAUUUCAGUGAUGUAAAAGAGUUGAUUAUAAGAGAUUGCCCUCCUUUGCCCAUGGAUAUCAUCCAAAUGCUAUCAUCUCUGGAGUACAUCAGUAUAGUCGGUCAUUCGAGUAUUGUACUGUGGCCAUUCGGAGGUGAGAGCCAUGUCACGCACCAGGUUCCAGUUGAAGAAGUGUCCAUUACUAAUAGUGGUGCUAGCGGGAAAGAAGUGACUCAACUGCUCUCUCAUUUCCCGAAGCUCAGCAGCCUGCGUAUAUGUGAUAGCGAGAAUAUAACAGAAGUUGGCGUGUCGGAGAAGCGGAGUGGAGCACAGCAGCAACAGACAAAAGAAGAGGAGGAAAUAGUGGCAACGGCAGAAGGAGGACUGCUGCUCUUGCCUACCCAACUAGAGAAGUUGAUCCUCCGAGGUUGCCGCCAGCUGAGAAUAGUCCCCAAUUCAGGAGGUCUCCAGCGUCUACACUCCCUCCGCGAAUUGAGUGCAUAUAAUUGCCCCAAUUUGCUUUCAUCCUAUUCGGGCUCCUCGUCUGGUUUCCCUUUCCCGACCUCCCUGGAACAACUCACACUAUCCAAGCUGGAAGAACUCACAAACCUAAGUUUCAGCAGUUCCUCAAGACUGCAUACCCUAUCAAUAGAUGACUCCUCCGGAGUUUUGUCAGAGUCCAUCUGCAGCCUGCUCUCCACCUCCCUCACCAGAUUGUGCUUUUUCGGUAGCAAAGAAGUGGAGCCCAUCCCAGGAGAUGCCCUCCUGCUUCUCACCUCCCUCCAAGAGCUCGCAUAUUGUUUCUGCAACAAAUUGCAGUUCCUCCCUACAGGUCUACAUACACUUGCCAGCAUCAAGUACUUAUGUAUCAGUGAAUGCCCAUCGCUCCAGCUGCUGCCUGCUGCCCAAGGACGGCCUCCCGAGUUCUCUGCAGAAAUUAGAGAUCUCCGGAUGUUCCAUGAAAGCAUUGCCCAAGGACGGCCUCCCGAGUUCUCUGCGGCAAUUAGAGAUCUACGAUUGUUCUGA